Small nuclear RNA from Cynocephalus volans (Philippine flying lemur), 107 nucleotides. Lineage: Eukaryota; Metazoa; Chordata; Mammalia; Dermoptera; Cynocephalidae. The record is from RefSeq and is a predicted model, not a curated record.
GUGCCAGCUUCAGCAGCACAUAUACUAAAAUUGGAACAAUACAGAGAAAAAUGGCAUGGCCCCUGCCUAAGGAUGACACACAAAUAUGUAAAGCGUUUCAUGUUUUU